UUUAUUCUUUUGGAUAUAGGCGGUAAGGAGCGGGUAGGGGGUGAGAGGAAAAUAGGUCUCCCCAGAUUUUCUAAGUUAUCCCUGUUGACUGAAGAUUUCAAGAUGUAUUCAAAUUCAGUAAACAAAGUUCUCUUUCCCUAAAGGGAGAUGUUGACAGCAAAUGCUGACAGGUUUCUCCUGGGCUAAACCCAAGAGUCUUCUCAGCACUCAGUCUUAUGUAUAAGCAAUAACGGAAGACAGAGUCCGUCUUCCACCUUCUCAUCCAACAGCCAGUUCAAGCAGCUGGACUUUCCUAACGGCUCCCGUCAAGAUUCCAUUGGAACACAGUCUCUCCUCUGCCCCUCCUCCGAUGAUUGGUGUUCCAAGAGUUCUGAGCUUCUUGCUUUUUCUGCAGAUCCAUUUUGUAUUGCCAUAUGGUCAAUUACAUUGUGUAAUUGGGAUAAGACCUCACAUCCCUGCAGCCUUUUAUGUUUGGGGUUUCUUUCCCUUAGCACAGGCCACCUAACAGCAUUCCUGAGGAAUCGAUAUUUCAAGCCUUUAUAGUAACCUCAUUAGUUAAAGAUGUUGGGGGUUCCUAGAGUAAGUAAUGCUGCCCUUAAGGAAUGUUUCUACUAUUAUACCACUUCUCAGAAGGGAUGAUAGGAUAUCCUGGUGUACUAGGCGUUCAGGGAAGACUAGUACUCCUGGUGUGAAGGCUUGCCAAAGCUUUUCUCCUUUCCUGUCUACCUGCUACCCAGCUCUCAUCUGUGGCUCCAAAAAACUAUAUGCACAGUGGCCACACCCAGUAAACUAUCUUGACUGGAGGCUAAAACAGAGUGAAGACAUCACCCAUGAAGUUAUUAUCCUCUUUGAAAACAAAUGACAAACAACAGCAUCCCAAACCCAAGAGGCCUGAGAACUUCUGCCUGGAUGGCCAGAAGAUCUAAAUCUUGGACGUGUUGGAGCAAUACAGAAUAAAAGUGAGUGAAAUAUCCAUUCAA
This is a long non-coding RNA of Monodelphis domestica (gray short-tailed opossum), 980 nucleotides long. RefSeq lists it as uncharacterized. The record is from RefSeq and is a predicted model, not a curated record. NCBI's taxonomy places the organism in Eukaryota, Metazoa, Chordata, Mammalia, Didelphimorphia, Didelphidae.